RNAcentral lists this ribosomal RNA (398 nucleotides) under uncultured bacterium. RNAcentral describes it as "partial 16S ribosomal RNA". It matches the Rfam family "Bacterial small subunit ribosomal RNA", at positions 523 to 918 of the family's 1533-position model. The record is from RNAcentral.
AUACGUAGGGUGCGAGCGUUGUCCGGAAUUACUGGGCGUAAAGAGCUCGUAGGUGGUUUGUCGCGUCGUCUGUGAAAUUCCGGGGCUUAACUCCGGGCGUGCAGGCGAUACGGGAAUAACUUGAGUACUGUAGGGGAGACUGGAAUUCCUGGUGUAGCGGUGAAAUGCGCAGAUAUCAGGAGGAACACCGGUGGCGAAGGCGGGUCUCUGGGCAGUAACUGACGCUGAGGAGCGAAAGCAUGGGUAGCGAACAGGAUUAGAUACCCUGGUAGUCCAUGCCGUAAACGGUGGGCGCUAGGUGUAGGGGUCUUCCACGACUUCUGUGCCGUAGCUAACGCAUUAAGCGCCCCGCCUGGGGAGUACGGCCGCAAGGCUAAAACUCAAAUGAAUUGACGGGG